This 253-nucleotide ribosomal RNA is filed under the name uncultured bacterium. RNAcentral describes it as "partial 16S ribosomal RNA". It matches the Rfam family "Bacterial small subunit ribosomal RNA", at positions 524 to 776 of the family's 1533-position model. The record is from RNAcentral.
UACGUAGGCAGCAAGCGUUGUUCGGAGUUACUGGGCGUAAAGGGUGUGUAGGCGGUUGGAUAAGCGUGGUGUGAAAUCUCCCGGCUUAACUGGGAGGGUGCGCUACAAACUGUCUGACUAGAGUGUGGGAUGGGUAAGUGGAAUUCCUGGUGUAGCGGUGAAAUGCGCAGAUAUCAGGAGGAACACCAAUUGCGAAGGCAGCUCGCUGGGACGUUACUGACGCUGAGACGCGAAAGCGUGGGGAGCAAACAGG